Molecule: transfer RNA, 65 nt
Filed under: Psilogramma increta
Lineage: Eukaryota; Metazoa; Arthropoda; Insecta; Lepidoptera; Sphingidae
Description: tRNA-Pro
Source: RNAcentral
CAAAAAAUAGUUUAUAAAAAUAAUAAUUUUGGGGAUUAUAGAUAAAGAAUUUUCUUUUUUUUUGA